UACGUAGGGGGCACGCGUUGUCCGGAAUCAUUGGGCGUAAAGCGCGCGUAGGCGGCCCUGUAAGUCCGUUGUGAAAGUCAAAGGCUCAACCUUUGAAAGCCGAUGGAUACUGCAGGGCUAGAGUCCGGAAGAGGCGAGUGGAAUUCCUGGUGUAGCGGUGGAAUGCGCAGAUAUCAGGAAGAACACCAACGGCGAAGGCAGCUCGCUGGGACGGAACUGACGCUAAGGCGCGAAAGCGUGGGGAGCGAACAGG
Molecule: ribosomal RNA, 253 nt
Filed under: uncultured bacterium
Lineage: Bacteria
Description: partial 16S ribosomal RNA
Rfam family: Bacterial small subunit ribosomal RNA
Source: RNAcentral